AUGCAAGUCGAACGGAGCGAAUGAAAGCUUGCUUUUAUAAGCUUAGUGGCAAACGGGUGAGUAACACGUAGACAACCUGCCGACAGGAUGGGACAACAUUCCGAAAGGAAUGCUAAUACCGAAUGAAGUGCAGGGGAGGCAUCUCCCCUGCAUGAAAGAUGGCCUCUGAAUAUGCUAUUACCUGUUGAUGGGUCUGCGUCUGAUUAGCUGGUAGGUGAGGUAACGGCUCACCUAGGCGACGAUCAGUAGCCGGUCUGAGAGGAUGAACGGCCACAUUGGGACUGAGACACGGCCCAGACUCCUACGGGAGGCAGCAGUGGGGAACCUUCCGCAAUGGGCGCAAGCCUGACGGAGCAACGCCGCGUGAGUGAAGAAGGUCUUCGGAUCGUAAAGCUCUGUUGAUGGGGACGAACGUGCCUAAUGCGAAUAGUAUUAGGUAAUGACGGUACCCAUCGAGGAAGCCACGGCUAACUACGUG
This 478-nucleotide ribosomal RNA is filed under the name uncultured Selenomonas sp. Its description in RNAcentral is "bacterial SSU rRNA". It matches the Rfam family "Bacterial small subunit ribosomal RNA", at positions 55 to 507 of the family's 1533-position model. The record is from RNAcentral. Lineage: Bacteria; Bacillati; Bacillota; Negativicutes; Selenomonadales; Selenomonadaceae.